RNAcentral lists this long non-coding RNA (437 nucleotides) under Phaseolus vulgaris (common bean). Its description in RNAcentral is "long non-coding RNA (PVUL_LNC004783)". The record is from RNAcentral. Lineage: Eukaryota; Viridiplantae; Streptophyta; Magnoliopsida; Fabales; Fabaceae.
AGUUUUCUACAGCAAGCGGAAGCCACUCCCACUCUCUCCCAACAACGCCCUCGACGUCACCACCUUCAUCUCCUCCCGAGCCCACCGCGGAACCACCGCCUUCAUCGACGCCGCCACAGGCCGCCACCUCAGCUACAGCCAGCUAUGGCGAGCGGUGGAGGGCGUGGCGGGCUCUCUCUGGGACAUGGGGAUCCGAAAGGGCAACGUGGUCCUGCUCCUCUCUCCCAACUCCAUCGACUUCCCGGUGGUGUGCCUGGCCAUCAUGUCCCUGGGCGCCGUCAUCACCACCACCAAUCCCCUCAACACCACGCAGGAAAUCGCCAAGCAGAUCGCCGAUUCCAAGCCCCUCCUCGCCUUCACCACCCCUCUCUUGCUCCCCAAACUCACCAAGGCAGCACCCUCUCUACCAAUCAUUCUCAUGGACACCACCGCUCACC